This 1382-nucleotide ribosomal RNA is filed under the name Staphylococcus aureus. Its description in RNAcentral is "bacterial SSU rRNA". It matches the Rfam family "Bacterial small subunit ribosomal RNA", at positions 152 to 1519 of the family's 1533-position model. The record is from RNAcentral. Lineage: Bacteria; Bacillati; Bacillota; Bacilli; Caryophanales; Staphylococcaceae.
GGAAACCGGAGCUAAUACCGGAUAAUAUUUUGAACCGCAUGGUUCAAAAGUGAAAGACGGUCUUGCUGUCACUUAUAGAUGGAUCCGCGCUGCAUUAGCUAGUUGGUAAGGUAACGGCUUACCAAGGCAACGAUGCAUAGCCGACCUGAGAGGGUGAUCGGCCACACUGGAACUGAGACACGGUCCAGACUCCUACGGGAGGCAGCAGUAGGGAAUCUUCCGCAAUGGGCGAAAGCCUGACGGAGCAACGCCGCGUGAGUGAUGAAGGUCUUCGGAUCGUAAAACUCUGUUAUUAGGGAAGAACAUAUGUGUAAGUAACUGUGCACAUCUUGACGGUACCUAAUCAGAAAGCCACGGCUAACUACGUGCCAGCAGCCGCGGUAAUACGUAGGUGGCAAGCGUUAUCCGGAAUUAUUGGGCGUAAAGCGCGCGUAGGCGGUUUUUUAAGUCUGAUGUGAAAGCCCACGGCUCAACCGUGGAGGGUCAUUGGAAACUGGAAAACUUGAGUGCAGAAGAGGAAAGUGGAAUUCCAUGUGUAGCGGUGAAAUGCGCAGAGAUAUGGAGGAACACCAGUGGCGAAGGCGACUUUCUGGUCUGUAACUGACGCUGAUGUGCGAAAGCGUGGGGAUCAAACAGGAUUAGAUACCCUGGUAGUCCACGCCGUAAACGAUGAGUGCUAAGUGUUAGGGGGUUUCCGCCCCUUAGUGCUGCAGCUAACGCAUUAAGCACUCCGCCUGGGGAGUACGACCGCAAGGUUGAAACUCAAAGGAAUUGACGGGGACCCGCACAAGCGGUGGAGCAUGUGGUUUAAUUCGAAGCAACGCGAAGAACCUUACCAAAUCUUGACAUCCUUUGACAACUCUAGAGAUAGAGCCUUCCCCUUCGGGGGACAAAGUGACAGGUGGUGCAUGGUUGUCGUCAGCUCGUGUCGUGAGAUGUUGGGUUAAGUCCCGCAACGAGCGCAACCCUUAAGCUUAGUUGCCAUCAUUAAGUUGGGCACUCUAAGUUGACUGCCGGUGACAAACCGGAGGAAGGUGGGGAUGACGUCAAAUCAUCAUGCCCCUUAUGAUUUGGGCUACACACGUGCUACAAUGGACAAUACAAAGGGCAGCGAAACCGCGAGGUCAAGCAAAUCCCAUAAAGUUGUUCUCAGUUCGGAUUGUAGUCUGCAACUCGACUACAUGAAGCUGGAAUCGCUAGUAAUCGUAGAUCAGCAUGCUACGGUGAAUACGUUCCCGGGUCUUGUACACACCGCCCGUCACACCACGAGAGUUUGUAACACCCGAAGCCGGUGGAGUAACCUUUUAGGAGCUAGCCGUCGAAGGUGGGACAAAUGAUUGGGGUGAAGUCGUAACAAGGUAGCCGUAUCGGAAGGUGCGGCU